Molecule: ribosomal RNA, 887 nt
Filed under: uncultured bacterium
Lineage: Bacteria
Description: bacterial SSU rRNA
Rfam family: Bacterial small subunit ribosomal RNA
Source: RNAcentral
ACACAUGCAAGUCGAACGAGAGAGAGGAAGCUUGCUUCCUCAAUCGAGUGGCGAACGGGUGAGUAACGCGUGAGGAACCUGCCUCAAAGAGGGGGACAACAGUUGGAAACGACUGCUAAUACCGCAUAAGCCCACGGGUCGGCAUCGACCAGAGGGAAAAGGAGCAAUCCGCUUUGAGAUGGCCUCGCGUCCGAUUAGCUGGUUGGUGAGGUAAUGGCCCACCAAGGCGACGAUCGGUAGCCGGACUGAGAGGUUGAACGGCCACAUUGGGACUGAGACACGGCCCAGACUCCUACGGGAGGCAGCAGUGGGGAAUAUUGCACAAUGGGGGAAACCCUGAUGCAGCGACGCCGCGUGGAGGAAGAAGGUCUUCGGAUUGUAAACUCCUGUUGUUGAGGAAGAUAAUGACGGUACUCAACAAGGAAGUGACGGCUAACUACGUGCCAGCAGCCGCGGUAAAACGUAGGUCACAAGCGUUGUCCGGAAUUACUGGGUGUAAAGGGAGCGCAGGCGGGAAGACAAGUUGGAAGUGAAAUCUAUGGGCUCAACCCAUAAACUGCUUUCAAAACUGUUUUUCUUGAGUAGUGCAGAGGUAGGCGGGAUUCCCGGUGUAGCGGUGGAAUGCGUAGAUAUCGGGAGGAACACCAGUGGCGAAGGCGGCCUACUGGGCACCAACUGACGCUGAGGCUCGAAAGUGUGGGUAGCAAACAGGAUUAGAUACCCUGGUAGUCCACACCGUAAACGAUGAUUACUAGGUGUUGGAGGAUUGACCCCUUCAGUGCCGCAGUUAACACAAUAAGUAAUCCACCUGGGGAGUACGACCGCAAGGUUGAAACUCAAAGGAAUUGACGGGGGCCCGCACAAGCAGUGGAGUAUGUGGUUUAAUU